UGAUGAUUCAGUGAGUAAAGAUGC
Molecule: non-coding RNA, 24 nt
Filed under: Mus musculus (house mouse)
Lineage: Eukaryota; Metazoa; Chordata; Mammalia; Rodentia; Muridae
Source: RNAcentral